RNAcentral lists this ribosomal RNA (460 nucleotides) under uncultured bacterium. RNAcentral's name for it is "partial 16S ribosomal RNA". It matches the Rfam family "Bacterial small subunit ribosomal RNA", at positions 338 to 795 of the family's 1533-position model. The record is from RNAcentral.
CCUACGGGUGGCAGCAGUGAGGAAUAUUGGUCAAUGGACGAGAGUCUGAACCAGCCAAGUAGCGUGAAGGAUGACUGCCCUAUGGGUUGUAAACUUCUUUUAUAAAGGAAUAAAACGAGGCACGUGUGCCUUUUUGCAUGUACUUUAUGAAUAAGGAUCGGCUAACUCAGUGCCAGCAGCCGCGGUAAUACGGAGGAUCCGAGCGUUAUCCGGAUUUAUUGGGUUUAAAGGGAGCGUAGGUGGGUUGGUAAGUCAGUUGUGAAAGUUUGGGGCUCAACCGUAAAAUUGCAAUUGAUACUGGUAGGCUUGAGUACAGGUGAGGUAGGCGGAAUGCGUGGUGUAGCGGUGAAAUGCUUAGAUAUCACGAAGAACCCCGAUUGCGAAGGCAGCUUACUAGACUGUGACUGACAUUGAUGCUCGAAAGUGUGGGGAUCAAACAGGAUUAGAUACCCUUGUAGUC